Molecule: small RNA, 125 nt
Filed under: Marmota monax (woodchuck)
Lineage: Eukaryota; Metazoa; Chordata; Mammalia; Rodentia; Sciuridae
Source: RNAcentral
GCCAGGCGUGGUGGCCCACGCCUGUAAUCCCAGCAGCUCAGGAGGCAGAGGCAGGAGGAUCACAAGUUCAAAGCCAGCCUCAGCUAAAGCAAGGGACUAAGCAACUCAGUGAGACCCUGUCUCUA